AACGAACGCUGGCGGCAUGCCUAACACAUGCAAGUCGAACGAGACCUUCGGGUCUAGUGGCGCACGGGUGCGUAACGCGUGGGAACCUGCUCUUAGGUUCGGAAUAACUCCCCGAAAGGGGUGCUAAUACCGGAUAAUGUCUUCGGACCAAAGAUUUAUCGCCUUUGGAUGGGCCCGCGUUGGAUUAGCUAGUUGGUAGGGUAAAAGUCUACCAAGGCGACGAUCCAUAGCUGGUCUGAGAGGAUGAUCAGCCACACUGGGACUGAGACACGGCCCAGACUCCUACGGGAGGCGGCAGUGGGGAAUAUUGGACAAUGGGCGAGAGCCUGAGCCAGCAAUGCCGCGUGAGUGAUGAAGGCCUUAGGGUUGUAAAGCUCUUUUACCCGGGAUGAUAAUGACAGUACCGGGAGAAUAAGCUCCGGCUAACCCCGUG
RNAcentral lists this ribosomal RNA (433 nucleotides) under uncultured bacterium. Its description in RNAcentral is "partial 16S ribosomal RNA". It matches the Rfam family "Bacterial small subunit ribosomal RNA", at positions 29 to 507 of the family's 1533-position model. The record is from RNAcentral.